AAAAAGACAAGGGUAAGCAGGUGUAAGUUGGAAAUCUAUAUCUGAUAAUAGAGAAACAGAAUGAAUAGUGCCAGACACCAGUCUGGCACCUAUUCAGUGGGCGAUGUUGUGGUGGAGAGGGGUUAUUGGGCUUUUUUGGGGGUCAUAGCCUCAUCAGCAAACCCUCAACCACGUGUUCCAAAAGGGACACGAAUGAAUAGUGCCAGACACCAGUCUGGCACCUAUUCAGUGGGCGAUGUUGUGGUGGAGAGGGGUUAUUGGGCUUUUUUGGGGGUCAUAGCCUCAUCAGCAAACCCUCAACCACGUGUUCCAAAAGGGACACGAAUGAAUAGUGCCAGACACCAGUCUGGCACCUAUUCAGUGGGCGAUGUUGUGGUGGAGAGGGGUUAUUGGGCUUUUUUGGGGGUCAUAGCCUCAUCACCAAACCCUCAACCACGUGUUCCAAAAGGGGCAUAUCUCAUCGCCACCGCCAUCUGAUUACCGCCACAACCCUCUCAGGCCAAAACGACUGUUUAAACAUCCACCACCCUCGCUAGGGUUUCGGUAAGGUGUCGACGACGGUUGUUUCCGGCCACACCUGUUCGUAGUGUAUGCUGAAAACCCUAGGAAUUCUACAGUGUAGACACGUUGCAGACAUGUGGCAAGUUCGACUGACAUAAGUUAUACACGUGGCUUUAAAAAAUGUGGCCCGAUAGAAGAGUACAUCACCUUCCAGAUGCUUUGUUAAUAGAUAAAUUAAUGAAGAUUAUUGGAUCAGAUUUCUUUAAAAUAGUGCCAGAGGUGAUAACCACUUCUGUUGUUGCUGCUGGAAAUUAUGCAUUCCAGGUCAAAGCACAGUUACUCCACCCGAACAAAUGUUUGCUACAGGUGAGGAGCUCAAGGCAUUGAAAGGAGAGGCGGAGAAAGAUGGCGAAAAGACAAUAAAGCGAAGGGGCGGUGAUAUCAAAACAAAUAUUUAUCAAGAUGUUUUCUAGCAAGGACAAAGAUAGUAAUAACAGGAGUUCGGAUACAUCAGAGAUUCGUUCGUCAUUCGACGAAUGCUGAGGAAACAAAGUCGUGCACGCCGACAUCGAGGAGCAAGAGCAAUAUCAAGCAAUACCAAACGAUGUCGGAUGAGGUUUCUCGAACGCUUUUUGUAGAUACGGUUUUCACGCCGCAACGCACGGGCGGGUAUAAAUCUAGUUAGUAUAAUAUAGCGUUGGAUGUAUAUUCAACUCAAAGAAAAACACAGCAGUUGACUUUCCAUAGUAGUCAAACUGCGUUCAAAAGUUUGAAUGGAACAGAAUUUAUAUGUAUAAAAAGGAGGUGAUUCUGAU
This is a long non-coding RNA of Helianthus annuus (common sunflower), 1316 nucleotides long. RefSeq lists it as uncharacterized. The record is from RefSeq and is a predicted model, not a curated record. NCBI's taxonomy places the organism in Eukaryota, Viridiplantae, Streptophyta, Magnoliopsida, Asterales, Asteraceae. The transcript is spliced from 5 exons.